GACGAACGCUGGCGGCGUGCCUAAUACAUGCAAGUAGAACGCUGAAGAGAGGAGCUUGCUCUUCUUGGAUGAGUUGCGAACGGGUGAGUAACGCGUAGGUAACCUGCCUGGUAGCGGGGGAUAACUGUUGGAAACGAUAGCUAAUACCGCAUAAAAUUGAUUAUUGCAUGAUAAUUAAUUGAAAGAUGCAAUUGCAUCACUACCAGAUGGACCUGCGUUGUAUUAGCUAGUUGGUGAGGUAACGGCUCACCAAGGCGACGAUACAUAGCCGACCUGAGAGGGUGAUCGGCCACACUGGGACUGAGACACGGCCCAGACUCCUACGGGAGGCAGCAGUAGGGAAUCUUCGGCAAUGGGGGGAACCCUGACCGAGCAAACGCCGC
This 383-nucleotide ribosomal RNA is filed under the name Streptococcus sanguinis. RNAcentral's name for it is "bacterial SSU rRNA". It matches the Rfam family "Bacterial small subunit ribosomal RNA", at positions 28 to 400 of the family's 1533-position model. Lineage: Bacteria; Bacillati; Bacillota; Bacilli; Lactobacillales; Streptococcaceae. The record is from RNAcentral.